UACGAAGGGGGCUAGCGUUGCUCGGAUUGACUGGGCGUAAAGGGCGCGUAGGCGGUUCGUACAGUCAGACGUGAAAUUCCUGGGCUCAACCUGGGGGCUGCGUUUGAUACGUGCGGACUUGAGUGCGGAAGAGGGUCGUGGAAUUCCCAGUGUAGAGGUGAAAUUCGUAGAUAUUGGGAAGAACACCGGUGGCGAAGGCGGUCUACUGGGCCUUACCUGACGCUGAGGAGCGAAAGCGUGGGGAGCGAACAGG
This 253-nucleotide ribosomal RNA is filed under the name uncultured bacterium. RNAcentral's name for it is "partial 16S ribosomal RNA". It matches the Rfam family "Bacterial small subunit ribosomal RNA", at positions 524 to 776 of the family's 1533-position model. The record is from RNAcentral.